AGAGUUUGAUCAUGGCUCAGAAUGAACGCUGGCGGCACGCUUAACACAUGCAAGUCGAACGGGAUCUUCGGAUCUAGUGGCAGACGGGUGAGUAACGCGUGGGAACCUGCCCAGUAGUAGAGAAUAACUUGAGGAAACUUAAGCUAAUACUUUAUACACCCUUCGGGGAAAAGCUUUAUGCGCUAUUGGAUGGGCCCGCGUUAGAUUAGUUUGUUGGUGAGGUAAUGGCUCACCAAGACUACGAUCUAUAGCUGGUCUGAGAGGAUGAUCAGCCACACUGGGACUGAGACACGGCCCAGACUCCUACGGGAGGCAGCAGUGGGGAAUAUUGGACAAUGGGGGCAACCCUGAUCCAGCGAUGCCGCGUGAGUGAUGAAGGCCUUCGGGUUGUAAAACUCUUUCGUCAGGGAAGAUAAUGACGGUACCUGAAGAAGAAGAUCCGGCUAACUCCGUGCCAGCAGCCGCGGUAAUAC
This 473-nucleotide ribosomal RNA is filed under the name uncultured bacterium. RNAcentral's name for it is "bacterial SSU rRNA". It matches the Rfam family "Bacterial small subunit ribosomal RNA", at positions 8 to 526 of the family's 1533-position model. The record is from RNAcentral.